UUCUUGGAGGAGUUCUUGGAAGAGGAAAAGAACAGCAGCAAUACGAACAAACCAAAUUGUCAAACACUCAACCAGUAGAAGGUGAAUGUACUUCCAAAAUCAUUUCCCUGAUCCCCUGCAAAUAGCUUGAUCACACUGGAGAAUGUAACCCAUGGAGUUGCCGAACUGUAUUUUUCUGCUUUACCUCAUGCGGAAUAAUCAAACUAAGAGUUUUCUGAAAUGUCACUUCACAAACACACUGAAGAAACUGGGGAGGUCAAGACAAGUGGUGUAUGCAAGGCCAUCUGUGAACACUGUUUUCUGAGGCUGACUUUUCCAUUACUGAGGACAGUUUCAUGUAACGGACCAAGCAUGGGGCAGAUCCUAUCAGCACUGGAUCCAGGCAUCAUGGAGCCUUGUGGUGAAUCUUAGCUCUUGAAGUGCCAGGAUGCUUUUGUCAAAUUCUUAUUCUUUCUAAAUUUCAAUGUCUUUACUUGUAAAUAAGAAAUACAGUUGCUUUAAAACUUAAGAUUCUGGAAGUAAAGUGUAGUGGGCUGAAUGGUGGUCCCCCAAUAAAGAUAUUCAUGUCCUAA
Lontra canadensis (Northern American river otter) is the source of this 572-nucleotide long non-coding RNA. RefSeq lists it as uncharacterized. Lineage: Eukaryota; Metazoa; Chordata; Mammalia; Carnivora; Mustelidae. The record is from RefSeq and is a predicted model, not a curated record. The transcript is spliced from 3 exons.